UACGUAGGGUGCAAGCGUUGUCCGGAUUUAUUGGGCGUAAAGAGCUCGUAGGCGGUUUUGAAAGUCGGGUGUGAAACCUCCAGGCUCAACCUGGAGACGCCACUCGAUACUUCAAUGACUUGAGUUCGGUAGGGGUAAGCGGAAUUCCUGGUGUAGCGGUGAAAUGCGCAGAUAUCGGGAGGAACACCGGUGGCGAAGGCGGCGACCUGGGUAGAUACUGACGCUGAGGUGCGAAAGCGUGGGGAGCAAACAGG
Molecule: ribosomal RNA, 254 nt
Filed under: uncultured bacterium
Lineage: Bacteria
Description: partial 16S ribosomal RNA
Rfam family: Bacterial small subunit ribosomal RNA
Source: RNAcentral